CCCUUAGAUGUUCUGGGCCGCACGCGCGCUACACUGACGAAUGCAACGAGCUUAUAACCUUGGCCGAAAGGUCUGGGUAAUCUCCAAAUUUCGUCGUGAUGGGGAUAGAUUAUUGCAAUUAUUAAUCUUCAACGAGGAAUGCCUAGUAAGCGAAAGUCAUCAGCUUGCGUUGAUUACGUCCCUGCCCUUUGUACACACCGCCCGUCGCUCCUACCGAUUGAAUGGUCCGGUGAAGCGUUCGGACCGUGGCCUUUGGACGGUUCGCCGUCUGUUGGCUGCGGGAAGUUCGUUAAACCUUAUCAUUUAGAGGAAGGAGAAGUCGUANCA
This 327-nucleotide ribosomal RNA is filed under the name uncultured eukaryote. RNAcentral describes it as "partial 18S ribosomal RNA". It matches the Rfam family "Eukaryotic small subunit ribosomal RNA", at positions 1470 to 1796 of the family's 1831-position model. The record is from RNAcentral.